CCUACGGGCGGCAGCAGUGAGGAAUAUUGGUCAAUGGGCGGGAGCCUGAACCAGCCAAGCCGCGUGAGGGAAGAAGGUACAGCGUAUCGUAAACCUCUUUUGUCAGGGAACAAAGGCGGGGACUAGUCCCCGGAUGAGGGUACCUGAAGAAAAAGCAUCGGCUAACUCCGUGCCAGCAGCCGCGGUAAUACGGAGGAUGCGAGCGUUAUCCGGAUUUAUUGGGUUUAAAGGGUGUGCAGGCGGCCUGUUAAGUCAGUGGUAAAAGCCCGGGGCUCAACCCCGGCGAGCCGUUGAAACUGGCGAGCUGGAGUUGGAGAGAAGUACGCGGAAUGCGCGGUGUAGCGGUGAAAUGCUUAGAUAUCGGGCAGAACCCCGAAUGCGAAGGCAGCGUACCGGCUCCACACUGACGCUGAGGCACGAAAGCGUGGGUAGCGAACAGGAUUAGAUACCCUGGUAGUC
Molecule: ribosomal RNA, 459 nt
Filed under: uncultured bacterium
Lineage: Bacteria
Description: partial 16S ribosomal RNA
Rfam family: Bacterial small subunit ribosomal RNA
Source: RNAcentral